Long non-coding RNA from Panicum virgatum (switchgrass), 2483 nucleotides. RefSeq lists it as uncharacterized. The record is from RefSeq and is a predicted model, not a curated record. The transcript has 2 exons. Lineage: Eukaryota; Viridiplantae; Streptophyta; Magnoliopsida; Poales; Poaceae.
CACCCGCGCGCGCGCCACGGCGCCCUGCCAACCACUCACGGCCGCGCACCCCCAUGGCUUGGCCGCCAGCAGCGCCGCCGCCGGUCUCCACCGUCGCCGCCACAGAGGAGGAGCUCGACCCCGCGCAGCCCGUGCCGAAGUUGCCGCCGCCACCCAGAAGAAGAGAAGCAGAGGAGGAGCCGAGUGGGAGAUGGAAGGAGAAGAGGAGGAGGAGCGCCCGCCGGGGCUUGACAUUGCCGCCGCGCUGGAGGAGAGGAGGAACGCGAGGAGGAGGGGAACACCGCCGCCAGGAGCACGACCUCACAGUCGCCUCGCCGUCCUCGCUGCACCAAGGAGGCUAGGAGCCGACCUUUGCGGUCUUCAGGACGAGUAAUGUGUUGCUUUUCCCCUAACCUGCUAAUUCACUCCGAAUAGUCUUGGUGAUUCUCACGGAGUAAUUGUGACAUGAAGUGCUUGUUCUCGACACACUUGGAUUUGGAUCCAUAAAUGUAGAUGCAUUCGGUUGAUACUUGAGGGCAGGGUAGAAAGAGAAGACAAUUUGCAGAAGUGAAAAAUUGCAUGCAUACGCUCAUGUUCCUUUCAUCCCUAGACUUAGAAAUGUAAUAAUCCUCGAUUCCUUCAAUUUUAUCAUUAGAAGCAAUAGAGGGGUAUUUUUCUUACUGUGUUGCUUGCAAAUUAUUUGUGCAGUGGGUGCGCCGUUUAGAAGAUGGCUCUGUAAAUUUCAUAGAAGGUUGAUUAAAAGAUACCCUUGUUUGCUGCUCUCUCUGCGUUUCAUGCAAAAAAAAAAGGACGCGUGUCGAUCAGCCUUCGAGCCACGGUGCUCCUCUCCGCGCACGGGGCGCGCGCUUUCCUCUCCGCCUAGAGGCGUGCGGGACUGCGGCAAAAUUGGGCCGCAGCGCUCGUGGUGGCUCCCACCUUAUCCCUUCCCCGAUCUCUCUUCUUAUCCAUGACAGCUCCGGUAAGGCUCUUAGCUUCUCAGAUCAAUUUGAUGUCAUUUCUUUGUUGCUUAGUGCUUACUACAGCUCGAAUAAUUUCAGUUGUUAAUCAAUAGGUUCAUGUAUUUCAAUCUGUAACGUUCAUGUACCAUGAGUACACGUCAGUAUCUUCUCAACUUUCUAGCCAUGAGUCCAAAACUUGGUUCAUCAAUAUAUUUAUAAAUAAGAUAUUUACUGCUGCGAAAGACUCAUUUAUCGAAAAUCUUUGAGUUUCAUCUGUUUACAUGUCAUGUGCAUGCAAUUAUGCUAGGUUGCCCCUCCCCCUGCAUCACUUUUAUAGACACAAGUACUUAUGGUUCAUAUCAUGUUCCAUUUGUCAUGAGAUAUCCAGAUUGCAACUUGCUGCAUGUAUACCGGAGAUAAAUGUGUAGACUUUGCUAAAGGAGUGAAAACACAUGUCUAUGUUUUUUUUUUGGUUCAAUUUAUAAAUUUAUAAGAAGCGGAGAAGGGGUGAAAUGGCAUAUUAUAUGCUAUUGAUUUAUCACAACUAUUGUCUGAUUAUAAUAGAAGCAAAUCAACCAAUGGUCAGGUCUACAGUUAGGAUAGUAUUGCUCCGGCGCUUGCAAGCAGAGAAAUUGAGAAAAUAAGAAAAGUGUUUCUACUAUGAUGUGUGUUCGAAAAUGUAACUGAAUUAGAACAUCUCACAUUUCAGUGUGAUUUUCUUUUAUUUCUAAUCUCACAUUCCACUGUAGUUUUCUUUCAUUGUCAUGAUAGGGCGCGUUGUUCAUGUUGUAUAAAUCUGAAGCUCAUUCAUUGUAAAUCUACAGCCACUCCAAUCUGACAAUACUUCAAGUCACUUUUGGUUUCCCAAUCUGUAAGUACUCUCAGUUUCCCAGUCUUGUGACCUUGCGUUUCAUCAUUUAGAAACCAUGUAACCUGAAUGUCUUCAAGUCUAUAAGUAUUAAAAAAACAAGGCAUUAACUGCUACUUUGGAAUGAGCAUAUAUGUACAUAUAUGGUCUGAUUUUCUAGUGGACUCUGUGCUUCUUGAAUUUAAGCAUACGACUACCUAGUUAAUGUCUUUUUUUACAUAGCUUGUUUGUAUCCGUGAUUUUUCUUUGUUUGUAUCUUCAAUCACUAAGUUCCCAUAACUUGUUAGAUAAUAUUUGUGCAACUUAAUUCUUCCGGAAUCUAUGAAAAAUUUAUUUGGGAUUCGUCUUUUGAAUGUAAUUGUGUGUACAUGUGAAGUUUAUGUUUAUGCUUUAAAAUUUAUUGGUGGUUCUUUCUGGUUGCAGGUUGCUACUUUCGAAACAAGGCCGUGGAAGAUUUCUAAUUCAAGUGAAAAGCAUGAAAGUGAAAGCUCUCAUGUUUGAUUCCAGGCCUAACUUUGAUAGUGUCUUUCUAAUCGAGUCCAGUAGAAUGAUUUUGGUACUGUAUAUAGGUUUGUAGCAAAAUAUAUACUGAAAGUGUACUUUGUAACUUGAGAUUGGGCUAUUUGAAUUUUGGAUGUGUCACUAUUGAUACUGAAAGUGUACUUUGUGAUUUGAAA